Molecule: ribosomal RNA, 400 nt
Filed under: phytoplankton environmental sample
Lineage: Eukaryota
Description: partial small subunit ribosomal RNA
Rfam family: Eukaryotic small subunit ribosomal RNA
Source: RNAcentral
AGCUCCAUUAGCGUAUAUUAAAGUUGUUGCAGUUAAAAAGCUCGUAGUUGGAUUUCUGUUUUCAAUUACCGGUCCGCUCAUGUAUUUGAGUGUGUACUUGUGUUAUUGAAUUCAUUUUUGUGAGGAUCCUUAUCUGGCAUUAAGUUGCCGGGUUUGUGUACUUGCAUCUUUUACUGUGAAAAAAUUAGAGUGUUUAAAGCAGGCGUUCGCUUAUUUGAAUACAUUAGCAUGGAAUAAUAAGAUAUGACUUGUGUGGUCUAUUUUGUUGGUUUGCACACGCGAGUAAUGAUUAAGAGGGACAGUUGGGGGUAUUCAUAUUUCAGCGUCAGAGGUGAAAUUCUUGGAUCGCUGAAAGAUGAGCUUAGGCGAAAGCAUUUACCAUGGAUGUUUUCAUUAAUCA